AUGGCAUUCGACAGGCUGAAGAUCUUUUGUGCCAACAUAGUGAAGAAGCUCGCGCCGCCACUGCUGAAAGAGGUUCAGGCGUCGACGCUCCGACCCGAUGCUGAACCAUUCACCCCGAAGCACACGACUCGCGCAACAAAGCGCAUCGGUACAGCUAGCACUGGUCCGGCCAAGCCUAAACCUGUAGAAAAUGUGCUCCUAAAGACGCUGGGUCUAGUCCCCGAGGAUAUGGUGCCGGAUGAGGUGGCAGUUCAAGAGCUCAGGAUGUUGUUCGACUCCCCGCUCAGAGAGCAGCACGUUCGGGUGAUUGCUGCGCUGUUUGGCAAGACCUUGCCGUCGGCUGCAGAGCUGGAAGGUAGAGAGGGCAGAGCAAUCGCUGCGGUCUAG
Molecule: ribosomal RNA, 387 nt
Filed under: Triticum aestivum (bread wheat)
Lineage: Eukaryota; Viridiplantae; Streptophyta; Magnoliopsida; Poales; Poaceae
Description: partial small subunit ribosomal RNA
Source: RNAcentral